RNAcentral lists this ribosomal RNA (505 nucleotides) under uncultured bacterium. Its description in RNAcentral is "bacterial SSU rRNA". It matches the Rfam family "Bacterial small subunit ribosomal RNA", at positions 107 to 607 of the family's 1533-position model. The record is from RNAcentral.
UGAGUAAUGUCUGGGAAACUGCCUGAUGGAGGGGGAUAACUACUGGAAACGGUAGCUAAUACCGCAUAACGUCGCAAGACCAAAGAGGGGGACCUUCGGGCCUCUUGCCAUCAGAUGUGCCCAGAUGGGAUUAGCUAGUAGGUGGGGUAAUGGCUCACCUAGGCGACGAUCCCUAGCUGGUCUGAGAGGAUGACCAGCCACACUGGAACUGAGACACGGUCCAGACUCCUACGGGAGGCAGCAGUGGGGAAUAUUGCACAAUGGGCGCAAGCCUGAUGCAGCCAUGCCGCGUGUGUGAAGAAGGCCUUCGGGUUGUAAAGCACUUUCAGCGAGGAGGAAGGUGGUGAGCUUAAUACGCUCAUCAAUUGACGUUACUCGCAGAAGAAGCACCGGCUAACUCCGUGCCAGCAGCCGCGGUAAUACGGAGGGUGCAAGCGUUAAUCGGAAUUACUGGGCGUAAAAGCGCACGCAGGCGGUUUGUUAAGUCAGAUGUGAAAUCCCCGGG